CACGCAGGCGGUCUGUCAAGUCUGAUGUGAAAGCCCACGGCUCAACCGUGGAGGGUCAUUGGAAACUGGAGAACUUGAGUACAGAAGAGGAAAGCGGAAUUCCACGUGUAGCGGUGAAAUGCGUAGAGAUGUGGAGGAACACCAGUGGCGAAGGCGGCUUUCUGGUCUGUAACUGACGCUGAGGCGCGAAAGCGUGGGGAGCAAACAGGAUUAGAUACCCUCGUA
This 225-nucleotide ribosomal RNA is filed under the name uncultured Sporosarcina sp. RNAcentral's name for it is "partial 16S ribosomal RNA". It matches the Rfam family "Bacterial small subunit ribosomal RNA", at positions 568 to 792 of the family's 1533-position model. Lineage: Bacteria; Bacillati; Bacillota; Bacilli; Caryophanales; Caryophanaceae. The record is from RNAcentral.